CAUGGCACCUCUUAGAAAGGAAAACAUUUCACUGAGGUGGUGGUUUACGGUUUCAGAGGUUUUGAUAGUUAUCAUCAUGGAGGGGAGCAUGGCGGCUGGGAGUGUGGCAGCGUGCAGCCAGCCAUGGUGCUGGACAAUUCUACAUCUUGAUCCAAAGGCAACUGGAAGUGAACUGGGAAAAUUAGCAGCUUGAGCAAAGGAGACCUCAAAGCCCACCCCUACAGUGACACACUUCUUCCAAAAGGCCACACCUCCUAAUGGCUCCACUCUCUUUGGGGGCCAUUUUCUUUCACACUACCACAUGCACCAUGCAUGUACCUGAGAUCAGAACCUAAGUGUUCCUAGAAGGGAGAAAGUGAAGGCUAAUAUGAUGUUGAGAGCUACAGAUGUCAGCUACAGAUAAGGGCAUAGGAUCCUCUGGAACUGGAGUCACAGCUGGUUUGUGAGCCACCAUGCAGGGGCUGGGAAUGGAACCUGAGUCCUCUGCAAGAGUAGCAGGGCUCUUACCCACUGAACCCUCUCCCCAUCCCAGGAGCUUUGACGUUGUGUUUUCUCUGACUCCUCUUUUUGGAUUUCCUGUUACUUCAGUGCUGGGUUUCCUAGAUUUAUCUGAGAUUUCCCCCUUUAUUUUCUAGUGAUUUUUCUUUUAACACACUCUCAAAUAUUUCAACUUUUUCUGUUUGCCCUUUCAAUUCCUAAUAGUUCAUGUCAUUAAUGUCCUGUACUUCCUGUCUUAUGGUUACAGUAUCUUUUUUAAAAACCACAUUGAAGAUAUGAGUCUUUCCUGAAGCUUUUCCAGCUUCUUGUUCUAUUCCUAGUGUCCUCCAGUUCCUUUUUCCUUCAGUUCUAUUGCUUGUUUUUAACAUUGGUGGCAUUUAUUUUUCUAUUUAUUUAUUUUUAGAAAGGGUCUUAUUAUGUAGACUUGGCUUACCUCGAAGUCACUAUGUAGACCAGGCUGGCCUCAAACUCCGCCUGCCUCUGCUUCUCCAGUGCUGGGACUAGAGGCAUGCACCACCAUGCCAAGCAAUGUGGUAGCAUUUAUGAGUCAUGUACUAGGCUGGAGAGAUGGUUCAGUGCGUGAAGCACUUGCUGUGCAGGCCUGAUGACCUGAAUGGAUUUCAGAACCGUUAUAAAAGCUGGAUGCACUAGCUUGUCUCUAAUCUCAGUGCAUCCCAUAGGAAAAUGGGAGAUGGAGAUAGGAAAAUUGCCAGAAGCUUGUGGGCCAGCUACCCUCAUCUACCCACUAGUGACUAAGAUAGACCUUGACUCAAAUAAGCUGGAAGGCAAGACCUGAUACCCAACUGGGUCCUCUGACUUCCAGAUGCAUGCUAUGGUACCACCAUCCCCACCCCCCGAAAAAAACCCCACUUGCAUGAGUUAGGAAUUUACUAGCUCUUAAGACUGCUGGGAAUAGUGACAGUAAUCUCAGCACUUCUGGGACAUGGGAGGGUGAGGCAAGAGAACCUCAAGUUCUAUGCCAGCCUGGGCUCCAUAGUAAGACCAUGUCUCAGACAAACAAAUGAGCAAAAGCAAACAAGAGCUGGUAAGAUGUGAUGAGAGGAUCAUGUGGGAUCCUAAAUAUAAGGGUUUCUACUUUUGCAGGGACUACUUAAAAACAUGUGCUGGGCUGCUGGAAGUGUAAUUCCAGCUGGCAGCAUGUUGGUGUCUAAGCCAAAGUUACAAGAGGGAUACCUCAGAAUUUGCAUGUGGACCUCCAUGCAUUCCCUUUGUGGGGCAUUCUAACUAAUGCCUGCCACCUCAUGAAGAAAAAGCAUCCCGUGAGAAAAGAAGUUUGCCAACUAUGUUCUGCUCCAUCCUAUGCCUCACUCCUGCUUUCCACAUUGACUCUGAUGCUACAAGAUUAUGCUAUAUAAUCUUCCUACUUCAACAACCUCCCAAGUGGUGCAAUAUCCAAGAAAUCACUACUCAAAAGUCACAAAGCAGGCCAGAGAGAUGAGUCAGAAGUUAAGAGCACUUACUGCUCUCACAGAGGACCCAGGUUUGGUUCCCAGCACCCAUACUAGGUGGCUCACAACCACCUGUGACUUCAACGCCAGGGAUCCAACACUCUUCUGGCCUCUGUGGGCACAUACAUAGAUGUAGACACAUGCAUAUAAAUAAAAAUAAAUCUUAAAAAAUUACAUUAUAAAAUGGCUGCAGUCCAGACUGUGUGUUCUCCUAAUAGUUUUAAAUUUUUAGCUCUUAUUUGCAGGUCAGUGAAGUAUUUUAAUUUUUUUGUUUCUUUUGUGGCAGGGUAUUCUUAUGUAGCCCAGGUUAGCCUUAAACAUGAUAUAUAGCCCAAUGGGCCCAGAACUUCCAAUCAUCUUACCUUACCUCAGGAAUGCUAGAUUUACAGGUACUAAAUAAAUGUAUGCUUGGCUUGAGUUAACUGUAUGCAAUGCAUUUUUCUUUUCUGUCAUUUCAGAUAAGUAUUCAGCCUACCAUGGUCCUUGUCUGAAAUGCAUAUCAUCAAAGUCUUGUAAAUAUUCCUCAAACACUAGAAAAAAUGAAAUCUUUUAAUGCCUUUUUUUUCUGAAAAGAAUCAAGUGGGAUAAUAGUCUCAAGUCUGUUAAAAUUUUCAAAGUAUUAAGGUGGUUUUCACUCAUUUAUACUUCCUAUUUAUCUCAGUGUGUUCUUGCUUCUUAAAAUUCCAUCUCUCAAGGCUGGAGAGAUGCUCAGUGGUUAACACCAGGUGCCGUUCUUGCAGAAGCCCCAGGUUUGGUUCUGAACACCCUUAACAGGUGGCCCACAACCACCUGUAACUCUAGCUACACUCUUUUCUUCAGGACACUGCACAUACUUCUCAGACAGAUAGACAUAUGCACCUAAUUUUAAGAAACAAAAUCUUUGUAAAAAAUUACAGCUCUUUAAAAUCAGAAAGCAGCUGUUUUAUGCUUUUUCUUUUCCCAUCUCAUAAAGUAAACUUUAAGAUAAUAUUUUACUCCACAGACCCUUACUUUCUUCUUCUCUCUUUUGUAACUAAACAUAUCUUAAAGAUACAGGUAAUUUCUUCUAUCAUUCCCUUGUAAUUUUGAUUUGUUAAGAUUUUGCUGUUAUUUUACAUAUUUUGAGGGAUAGUUUCUAUAACUUGACCCUGACAGUUUAAGCAGUUACCUGGAUGUGCCAUCAAGAAUCAUGUUUGUCAGAGUAGCCACCCAAACCCUGUAUUCAGUGACAACUAGACUAGCAAUGGGUGACAGCAGAGUCACACACAGGUCCCGGGGGAGCAAUGUUAAGAACACACCAUGAUCAGUUUGGACUCUCCGGUCUAGAUGCUUACUGACAUGUGAGCCACUGAGCCUUUGUCCUAUGUCACAGGUGUGGACUCUCUCUGUACCCAAUGCCAGCUCUAAGUGAAAUUAUCUUUUCAAGUCUGACAAGCCAGCUUCAUUUUUAGAUGCUAUUAGUGAAAAUACAUGCAGGUAAGUCAAGAAACAGUUCCUGCUGCUUUCACUUCCACAAUCAUCCCUUUCUGAAAAUCUGGGACUAAGGCAAACCUGUUCAUAAAACUACUUCAUGACUUGGCUCCUAAGGUCUAAGUCCUGCAGGAAAAGUAUUUAUGAUAUUAUUCAAGUCUUUAUAAUUAAACAAAACACCUAACCAUCAUUCUACAAUCCUCUUUCUUUUUAUAUGAAUCUUGUAACCCUCUAAUGUUGGGUGGCAGUGACAUGUGGAUAACAUUUUUCAAAUGCCCACUGUAGAAUACCAUGUAGUACAAUCUAUUUAAAAUACCCUCUGACAUCACUAAUGGAGGGUGACAGGAAGGAGGGAAAGAGAGUUACUGUGGAAGGUCACAGAGCUUCUAUUUGGGGGAAUGAAAAAGUUUUGGAAAUAUAUAGUUGUGACAGUUCAACAACAUUGUAGGUAUUAAUGCCACUGAAUUGUAAACUCAAAAAAAAUGUCUUUUAAAGUAAAUUUUAAGUUGACCAUGACCAUAGGCACAUUCCUAUAAACCUAGCAACAGACACUGAGGCAGAAGCUCAUGGCCAGACCAGGCUACAUACGAGACACUGGUAAAGAACAAAACUAAAAGGUAAAUCUUAUGUUCUAUAUAUUUUACCACCAAAUAAAAGAGAAUAAGUCACACUUGAAGACUAUGGAACAUGCUACCUGAAAGCGGCAAUGCUUUGAUGUCAAUCAUUUGAUAAAGCAGCAGAAGACACUGAGAAUAAUAAUUUUGCUUUGGCUUUUAACUACAGUUUAUCUUUAUGUGUCUGUGUGUCUGUGUGUCCAUGUAUGUGAACAUGUGUUUCAAGGCCAGAGGUCAGCAUCAGGUGUCUUCCUCAAUGGGUUUUGCACAUUAUGUUUGGAGACAAGGUCUCUCAGUGGACCUGGAGCUCAGUGAUUUGGCCAUGUUGGCCAGCCAGCCCCAGGAACUCCAUCUCUGCCUCCCCAACACAGAAAUUACAAGUGACUGCUUCCAUCCCCCACUUUUUGUGUGGGUUCUUGAGAUCCUAACUCAGGACCUCACCCUUGGAUGGAAAGCAACUUACUAAGGUUGUGAUUUACCUUUUUAACUUUCUAAUUUUUAUAUGUUUAUGGGUGUUUUGUCUGAAUGUAUGUCUGUGUUCCAUGUGCAUGCCUGAUGCCCAAGGAGGCCAGAAGAGGACCCCCUGGAACAGGAGUUGUAUAUACGUGGUUGUGAGCUUCCAUGUGUGUGCUGGGAUCAAACCUAGGACCCCGGAGGGGCAGCCAGUGCUCUUAAUCACUUAGCCAUUUAUCCAGCUCCGGAUUUACCUUUUAGAGAGAAAAUAUCCUAGAAGCAGAAUAAAGUGACAAACAGGAUACCUGACUAGAGUGCAGCUUCUUAUUUUCCAGGUGGCUCUUCUCCUGUAGCAGGGCUUCCUUCUUAGAGACGAUGGCUUCACGUUUCUUCAGGUCUUCUUCCAGCAUCUCUAGUUCUUGGCGUUGGUUCAAAACUUUCUCUACUUCUUCAUCUAACCAUUUCUUUUGCUCAUCCAAUUUCUACAUUAAAAGAAAUACUGUGGUUUGUUUCUCCCCUACCAUAAAGACUCUUAUCAUUUUAAAUGGCUAGAACUUUAAAAAAAUGAACAUUAAAAUUAUUCAUCUUCCCAUUUGGCUCUGAUGAUUCUAGUUAACAUGUUGCUGUGUUGUUUUGUAGAGAGUUAAAGUUUAUUGUCCUACAGUGUUACUCAAGCUAUUUUUGCCUGGCAAAGGCAUUAGUUUUCUCUACAUCUGUUAAAGCCAGGCUGGGCAUCUCCACCUCUACAUCUGUUAAAGCCAGGCUGGGCAUCUCCACCUCUACAUCUGUUAAAGCCAGGCUGGGCAUCUCCACACGUUUGGAGGCCAUGCUUCCACCGUGGCUCUCUUGAAGCAGCCGUCCUCCAACCUGAGCUACCUGAAAGACUCCAUGAGCAGUACUUUUCAGCUCUCUAUGAUUCAUUUCGGACGUGCUGCCUGGCCUGCAGAUGGUAUCUGAUACAAGGUCAAAUGAGUAAGUAAAUAAAUGUCUUAUUCAGUCAUCCACUGGAAUAAAUACUCCAUGAAAAAACAAAUCUACUUUAUAGAUUGUUAAUUUCAAAUACUGCAAAAUACAACAAAAGGGUGGAAGGAUAUGCAAAGUGUAUUAGUAUCCUGUUAACACAACCAGAAGCAAGUCAAAUAUAGAUAAAACAUGACUAAGAUACAUCCUAUCACAAGCACACUGAAAUGUCACUAAAGGCACUAAAACAACAAAUAAAUAGAGAAGUCAACACAGCACAGAAAGAACUGGAAAUCUAUUAAGAGAGUGAGAAAGCAGACAUGGUGUCCCAAGCCUGUAAUCUUGCACUCCAGAAAAUUUCAGAGUAACCUCGGCUUACCUGAGACCCUGCCACAAAACAACAACAACUAGAAACGAGGCAACAAAAAACACACGAGAGGAGAGAGCAGUGAGGCCAAGGCAACUAAGGCGCAAAGCCAGUUAAUCUCCCAACAGACCCGUGAAGUCUGGCCUUGCGAGCAUUCAAUCCACCCAACACUGAUGCCCACAGGAGCAGCAGCCCUGCAGUUACCAGGAGUGGGAAGUGUUCAAAUACUUCAGUUAGCCUAGACCCAGGAAAAGGCCUUAGGAAGUCCAAUUAAGUUAAUAUUUACAGCACUUCUCAACUGUGAGUGGGGUUUCCAGUAGACAAAAAGACAAUUACAAUUGUUGAAAAUAUUUCUGAGUGCAAAUGGUAUCUGUGGGAAUACAUUCAUACUCUAAAUGUUACUAUUAAAAUAGGUAAAAUGUAAAUAUUUUUCAAAAUUUAAAUAGAUGUAUUUGUAUUCUGAAUAUGAUUACAAUUUUAAGUAUACUGUUUUUCUUAAAUAAAUAUUUUCAAUUUCUUUGACCUUGGAAA
This is a long non-coding RNA of Peromyscus maniculatus bairdii (prairie deer mouse), 6341 nucleotides long. RefSeq lists it as uncharacterized. The record is from RefSeq and is a predicted model, not a curated record. Lineage: Eukaryota; Metazoa; Chordata; Mammalia; Rodentia; Cricetidae.